Molecule: unclassified non-coding RNA, 415 nt
Filed under: uncultured fungus
Lineage: Eukaryota; Fungi
Description: partial internal transcribed spacer 2
Source: RNAcentral
AACGCAUUUUGCGCUUCCAGGCAUUCCUGGGAGCACGUCUGGCUGAGUAUCAAUUACCCUUCCUUCCCACCCCCUCGGGGGAUCCACGGGAGACAGUGGGGCUCCCGGGCCGGCGCUUCGUGCGCCAGCUCGCGUGCCCUGAAAACCAGAGGUCUCGCAAGGGACCGGGACGGCGCUCAGCGCGCCUCCUGCCGUGUUGCACACCUGCCGAUCGCGUGAAACCGCUCGGAAGCUGGCGUCAAGCCUCUUCUUUGCCCUUUCUUCUGCUGCUCUGGCGCGUUAGGAAAGCUUUGCUCUUUCUCACGUCGGGGCUCCCGCAGAAGGCUCAAGGGGGUAGGACGAGGUGCCGGCUGCAACGCGCAAGCACAUUUCAACUUCUGAUCUCAGCUCAGACGGGGCUACCCGCUGAACUUAA